GUAGGUGAACCUGCGGAAGGAUCAUUAACACGUGACCCAACGUAUCUAUCCAGUGCACCCGACCGAAUUUACGAGAGUUGAAAACUUACGAGAGGCUUUUUGAAUCUUUCGGGAUUCAAGAACCGUUAGAAUGUGCUAGUGUUGCACGCUAUUUGCCAAGAGAGUUUGUUGGAAUCCUUGUUGGCAGGACGUGUUCUCUCUGGCAAGCGGCCGCAUCAAAAAGCAGUCUGAUGGCAGUUCCUUUUGUGAG
This 250-nucleotide unclassified non-coding RNA is filed under the name plant metagenome. RNAcentral's name for it is "partial contains small subunit ribosomal RNA, internal transcribed spacer 1, and 5.8S ribosomal RNA". The record is from RNAcentral.